AUGCCGCGUGAGUGAUGAAGGCCUUAGGGUCGUAAAGCUCUUUCGCCAGGGAUGAUAAUGACAGUACCUGGUAAAGAAACCCCGGCUAACUCCGUGCCAGCAGCCGCGGUAAUACGGAGGGGGUUAGCGUUGUUCGGAAUUACUGGGCGUAAAGCGCGCGUAGGCGGAUUGGAAAGUUGGGGGUGAAAUCCCGGGGCUCAACCCCGGAACUGCCUUUGAAACUGUCGGUCUAGAGUUCGAGAGAGGUGAGUGGAAUUCCGAGUGUAGAGGUGAAAUUCGUAGAUAUUCGGAGGAACACCAGUGGCGAAGGCGGCUCACUGGCUCGAUACUGACGCUGAGGUGCGAAAGUGUGGGGAGCAAACAGGAUUAGAUACCCUGGUAGUCCACA
Molecule: ribosomal RNA, 388 nt
Filed under: Roseovarius pacificus
Lineage: Bacteria; Pseudomonadati; Pseudomonadota; Alphaproteobacteria; Rhodobacterales; Roseobacteraceae
Description: bacterial SSU rRNA
Rfam family: Bacterial small subunit ribosomal RNA
Source: RNAcentral